This 243-nucleotide long non-coding RNA is filed under the name Mustela putorius furo (domestic ferret). RNAcentral's name for it is "lncRNA (ENSMPUG00000029140.1)". Lineage: Eukaryota; Metazoa; Chordata; Mammalia; Carnivora; Mustelidae. The record is from RNAcentral.
GAAACUCUUCUUUGCAGGUUUAUAGCUUCUGAGGAAGCAGCAGAGGCAGCCUGUUCUCAGGACCAAACGCAAUAAUUAUAACGGCACUUGGAUGAUGAAUUAGUUGAUGAGUAUCGAGUGGUGCCUGUGAGCCCGUGAGCCCGUGAGCCCUCGCGUGUCCAGGCGGCCAGAUCUCGGGCCACAGUGGGGCUGUGGCACUGUGGAGGUGGCCCAGAACUGGGAUUCAAAGACCUAGAUGGAGAC